CAAAAACAACAUGAUCUCAUGAAAUCAACAAGAAAAAUUUACGGUUGAGAGGUGCUUUACAAACCACACUAUGUGCUUGUCUGCUAAAGGUAAAAUAAAAAGAUACAACAUAUAGGUACAACAUCAAACAUUUUUGUCUUUCAUAUUUUGUUUCCCCAACAAUAUAACACAAGUUUACAAGACAAAAGGGGACUUUGAGCAAUGCCUCAGUCUCCAGCACCAAUCCAAAAGAAGUUGUGGGGUUUCAUUAU
This 251-nucleotide unclassified non-coding RNA is filed under the name Hevea brasiliensis (rubber tree). Lineage: Eukaryota; Viridiplantae; Streptophyta; Magnoliopsida; Malpighiales; Euphorbiaceae. The record is from RNAcentral.